Molecule: ribosomal RNA, 434 nt
Filed under: Klebsiella aerogenes
Lineage: Bacteria; Pseudomonadati; Pseudomonadota; Gammaproteobacteria; Enterobacterales; Enterobacteriaceae
Also listed under: 2 other names
Description: partial 23S ribosomal RNA
Rfam family: Bacterial large subunit ribosomal RNA
Source: RNAcentral
GUAUCCUGUCUGAAUAUGGGGGGACCAUCCUCCAAGGCUAAAUACUCCUGACUGACCGAUAGUGAACCAGUACCGUGAGGGAAAGGCGAAAAGAACCCCGGCGAGGGGAGUGAAAAAGAACCUGAAACCGUGUACGUACAAGCAGUGGGAGCACCUUCGGGUGUGACUGCGUACCUUUUGUAUAAUGGGUCAGCGACUUAUAUUCUGUAGCAAGGUUAACCGUAUAGGGGAGCCGCAGGGAAACCGAGUCUUAACUGGGCGUUAAGUUGCAGGGUAUAGACCCGAAACCCGGUGAUCUAGCCAUGGGCAGGUUGAAGGUUGGGUAACACUAACUGGAGGACCGAACCGACUAAUGUUGAAAAAUUAGCGGAUGACUUGUGGCUGGGGGUGAAAGGCCAAUCAAACCGGGAGAUAGCUGGUUCUCCCCGAAAGCU